GACGAACGCUGGCGGCGUGCCUAAUACAUGCAAGUUGAGCGAUGAAGAUUGGUGCUUGCACCAAUUUGAAGAGCAGCGCACGGGUGAGUAACGCGUGGGGCAUCUGCCUUUGAGCGGGGGACAACAUUUGGAAACGAAUGCUAAUACCGCAUAACAACUUUAAACAUAAGUUUUAAGUUUGAAAGAUGCAAUUGCAUCACUCAUAGAUGAUCCCGCGUUGUAUUAGCUAGUUGGUGAGGUAAAGGCUCACCAAGGCGAUGUUACAGAGCCGACCUGAGAGGAUGGUCAGCCGCAUUGGGAGUGUGACCCGGCACAAACGCCCACGGGAGGCGGCAGUAGGGAUUCUGCGGCAAUGGGCGAAAGUCUGACCGAGCAACGCCGAGUGAGUGAAGAAGGUUUUCGGAUCGUAAAACUCUGUUGGUAGGGAAGAACGUUGGUGAGCGUGGAAAGCUCAUCAAGUGACGGUAACUACUCAGAAAGGGACGGCUAACUACGUG
This 497-nucleotide ribosomal RNA is filed under the name uncultured bacterium. RNAcentral describes it as "partial 16S ribosomal RNA". It matches the Rfam family "Bacterial small subunit ribosomal RNA", at positions 28 to 507 of the family's 1533-position model. The record is from RNAcentral.